RNAcentral lists this ribosomal RNA (527 nucleotides) under uncultured bacterium. RNAcentral describes it as "bacterial SSU rRNA". It matches the Rfam family "Bacterial small subunit ribosomal RNA", at positions 777 to 1304 of the family's 1533-position model. The record is from RNAcentral.
AAUAGAUACCCUGGUAGUCCACGCCGUAAACGAUGAGUGCUAAGUGUUAGAGGGUUUCCGCCCUUUAGUGCUGAAGUUAACGCAUUAAGCACUCCGCCUGGGGAGUACGGCCGCAAGGCUGAAACUCAAAGGAAUUGACGGGGGCCCGCACAAGCGGUGGAGCAUGUGGUUUAAUUCGAAGCAACGCGAAGAACCUUACCAGGUCUUGACAUCCUCUGACAACCCUAGAGAUAGGGCUUCUCCUUCGGGAGCAGAGUGACAGGUGGUGCAUGGUUGUCGUCAGCUCGUGUCGUGAGAUGUUGGGUUAAGUCCCGCAACGAGCGCAACCCUUGAUCUUAGUUGCCAUCAUUCAGUUGGGCACUCUAAGGUGACUGCCGGUGACAAACCGGAGGAAGGUGGGGAUGACGUCAAAUCAUCAUGCCCCUUAUGACCUGGGCUACACACGUGCUACAAUGGACGGUACAAAGAGCUGCAAGACCGCGAGGUGGAGCUAAUCUCAUAAAACCGUUCUCAGUUCGGAUUGUAGG